RNAcentral lists this microRNA precursor (122 nucleotides) under Mus musculus (house mouse). RNAcentral describes it as "predicted gene, 56347 (ENSMUSG00002075190.1)". The record is from RNAcentral. Lineage: Eukaryota; Metazoa; Chordata; Mammalia; Rodentia; Muridae.
AGACAGCUACAGUGUACUCAUAUAUGUGUGUGUGUGUGUGUGUGUGUGUGUGUGUGUGUGUGUGUGUGUGUAUGUAUAUACACACACAUAGAUACACACAUACAUAUAUGUACACAUAUAUA